AAAUAUUUCCAUUGUGUUGGGAUUGUUAGUGUUAAUGAAAAUUGACAGUUAUUUCGAUAAUAAUUAAUGUCUGGAGGUUAUAUUGACCAAUCGGGUAAUUAAUCGGAUAAAUGAGCAAUUAAUUGCUAUUAAUUUACAUGCUUAUAACUAUGUGAUCACAUGUGUGUACUAUUGAUUCACAUAAUUUACUAUUAGGGGAGUUGGUGCAAGAUUG
RNAcentral lists this long non-coding RNA (214 nucleotides) under Panax ginseng (ginseng). RNAcentral describes it as "long non-coding RNA (PGIN_LNC013420)". The record is from RNAcentral. Lineage: Eukaryota; Viridiplantae; Streptophyta; Magnoliopsida; Apiales; Araliaceae.